Molecule: ribosomal RNA, 388 nt
Filed under: uncultured bacterium
Lineage: Bacteria
Description: partial 16S ribosomal RNA
Rfam family: Bacterial small subunit ribosomal RNA
Source: RNAcentral
AUACGUAGGUGGCAAGCGUUAUCCGGAAUUAUUGGGCGUAAAGAGUGAGCAGGCGGUUAAUUAAGUCUGAGGUUAAAGCAUGGGGCUCAACCCCAUAAAGCCUUGGAAACUGAUUGACUUGAGUACGGGAGAAGGGAAGGGAAAUCCCUGUGUAGCGGUGAAAUGCGUAGAUAUAUGGAAGAACACCAGUGGCGAAGGCGCUGCACUAGCCCGAAACUGACGCUCAGUCACGAAAGCGUGGGUAGCAAAUAGGAUUAGAUACCCUAGUAGUCCACGCUGUAAACGAUGACAGCUAAAUAUUGCCGCGAGGCAGUGUUGAAGCUAACGCAUUAAGUUGUCCGCCUGGGGAGUACGGUCGCAAGACUGAAACUUAAAGGAAUUGACGGGG